Molecule: non-coding RNA, 45 nt
Filed under: Schistosoma mattheei
Lineage: Eukaryota; Metazoa; Platyhelminthes; Trematoda; Strigeidida; Schistosomatidae
Source: RNAcentral
AUUCAACUGGCGAGUCCCAAAUAGGACGAAACGCGCGUCCUGGAU